Molecule: long non-coding RNA, 2545 nt
Filed under: Anas platyrhynchos platyrhynchos (common mallard)
Lineage: Eukaryota; Metazoa; Chordata; Aves; Anseriformes; Anatidae
Description: lncRNA (ENSAPLG00000029626.1)
Source: RNAcentral
GGAAAGGGGCGAAGGAAGCCCCUCCCGUUAGCAAAACGCCCUGGUUUCACUGUAAGGAUGUUAAUUAGCGGUAAUUAGCGCUAAUUAGGGCCGUACCUGGCGCUGCUGCGAGGGGGGGGCGGCGGAGGGGUCCCCCCCCCCCUCCGGGGUCAGGGCCUGGAGGCGGCGCUGGAGGCUGCGGCUGCGGGCGCUCAGCCGGGAGCGCUCGGCACUGGGCUCCACCAGGCCCUGGGGGGGCAGGGGGGGACCCCAAAAUCCCAUAAGGACCCUGGGGGCCUCCAGCACCCCAUAAUGACCCCAGGGUCCCCCAAUAUCCCAUAAUAUCCCUGGGGUCCCCAAUAUUCCACAGUGCCCCUGGGGUCCUCCCGAAUCCCAUAAUAUCCCUGGGGUCACCCCAACAUCCCAUAAUGACCCCAAAGUGACCCCAAUAUCCCAUAAUAUCCCUGGGGUCACCCCAAAAUUCACAGUGCCCUUGGGGUCCUCCCGCAUCCCAUAAUGCCCCCAGGGUCACCCCAAAAUCCCAUAAUGCCCCUGGGGUCCUCCACCAUCCCACAAUUCCUUUGGGGUCCUCCAGUAUCCCACAAUGCCCUGGGGUCACCCCAAAAUCCCACAAUGCCCCUGGGGUCCUCCACCAUCCCAUAAUGCCCCUGGGGUCCUCCAGCAUCCCACAAUUCCUUUGGGGUCCUCCCGCAUCCCAUAAUGCCCCUGGGGUCCCCCAACAUCCCACAAUGCCUCUGGGGUCCUCCUGCAUCCCACAAUGCCCCGGGGUCCUCCAGCAUCCCACAAUUCCUUUGGGGUCCUCCAGUAUCCCACAAUUCCUUUGGGGUCCUCCACCAUCCCAUAAUGCCUCUGGGGUCCCCCAACAUCCCACAAUUCCUUUGGGGUCCUCCCGCAUCCCAUAAUGCCCCUGGGGUCCUCCACCAUCCCACAAUCCCCUGGGGUUCCCCAGUAUCCCACAAUGCCCCAGGGGUCCUCCAGUAUCCCAUAAUGCUCCUGGGGUCCUCCAGCAUCCCACAAUUCCUUUGGGGUCCUCCAGUAUCCCAUAAUGCCCUUGGGGUCCCCCAGUAUCCCACAAUGCCCCGGGGUCCUCCAGCAUCCCACAAUCCCCCAGGGUCCCCCAGUAUCCCACAAUUCCUUUGGGGUCCUCCAGCAUCCCAUAAUCCCCCCAGGGUCACCCCAAAAUCCCACAAUGCCCCUGGGGUCCCCCAAUAUCCCACAAUCCCCUGGGGUCCUCCACCAUCCCACAAUCCCCCGGGGUCCCCCAGUAUCCCACAAUGCCCUGGGGCCCACCUGCAGGCAGAGGUAGACGUGGGUUCCGGGGCCGGCCGGGGCCCCCACCCAGCCGGGCCCCAGCUCUGGCUCCGCCCCCUGGGGGAGGAGCCUCAGAGGCCCCGCCUGCGCCAGGGCCUGGAGGGCGGGGCCGAGCUCCCGAAACGCCGCCCUCAUCUCCUCCGGGCACCGCACGGCCACUGCGCAAAGCAUGCUGGGAUAGCCCCGCCUCCAAGAUGGCCGCCCCACCAAUCACCUUCCUGCCCUCAGAAAUAGCCCCGCCUCCAAGAUGGCCGCCCAACCAACCACCUUCAUACCCUGCUGGGGAUAGCCCCGCCUCCAAGAUGGCCACCCCACCAAUCACCAUCAAGCCCCGCCUCCAAGAUGGCCGCCCCACCAACCACCUUCCUCCCCUGACAUAACCCCGCCUCCAAUAUGGCCGCCUCCACUGGGCGCCGCCAUCUUAGGCCCUCCCCAGUGACCACCCCUUACACCCCGGUGCACGCUGGGACAUGUAGUCCCAUGGGCCCGGCCGCCAUCUUGAGGCCUUGGUGGCCAUCUUGGGCCUCCGUAACCUCCCCUCCUGGCGGCCAUUUUGGGCCUCGACAUCCCCCAUUCCCAUUGACCUCCAGCCUCCAUCUUGAGGCCUCCGUCAGCCAUCUUGGGCCUCCAUAACCUCUACUCUUGUUGGCCAUCUUGGGCCUCGAUGUCCUCCCCUCUUGGCGGCCAUCUUGGGCCUUGACGCGUCCUCCACUCCCAUCAACCCCCAGCCUCCAUCUUGAGGCCUGGCAGCCAUCUUGGGCCUCAACGUCCUCCCCUCCUGGCGGCCAUCUUGGGCCUUGACACCCCUGUCAACCAUUUUGGGCCUCGACGUCCUCCACUCCCAUCAGCCCCCAGCCUCCAUCUUGAGGCCUCCAUCAGCCAUCUUGGGCCUCGAUGUCCUCCCCUCUUGGCGGCCAUCUUGGGCCUCGACGUCCUCCACUCCCAUCAGCCCCCAGCCUCCAUCUUGAGGCUCCUGGCAGCCAUCUUGGGCCUUGUUAACCUCUACCCUUGUCGGCCAUCUUGGGCCUUGCUAACCUCCACUCCCAGUGGCCAUCUUGGGCCUCGAGGCCCUCCACUCCCCCCAAAUCCCGUCCCCAACACUCCCCGCCCGUCCCCCUCCCCGGCGGCCAUCUUGAGCCCUGGCAGCACUCACCGUGGGGCCGCGCGGCGCCGAGGCGGAAAGUCUCCCGCAGAGCCCUCACCACCCUGACCACCUCCCGCAUGGCCUCCACCU